UCCUUCGGUUCAUGAGCGUGAUGAUUGGGUGUUCAUGCUCUAGUGUGAGAUGUGCCUCCCUCUAAACCUUGUUAUGACAUUGGCACAUUACCCAUGUGAC
This 100-nucleotide small nucleolar RNA is filed under the name Marmota monax (woodchuck). It matches the Rfam family "Small nucleolar RNA U13". The record is from RNAcentral. Lineage: Eukaryota; Metazoa; Chordata; Mammalia; Rodentia; Sciuridae.